UUGCGGCGUGCCUAAUACAUGCAAGUAGAACGCUGAAGAGAGGAGCUUGCUCUUCUUGGAUGAGUUGCGAACGGGUGAGUAACGCGUAGGUAACCUGCCUUGUAGCGGGGGAUAACUAUUGGAAACGAUAGCUAAUACCGCAUAACAAUAGAUGACACAUGUCAUUUAUUUGAAAGGGGCAAAUGCUCCACCACAAGAUGGACCUGCGUUGUAUUAGCUAGUAGGUGAGGUAACGGCUCACCUAGGCGACGAUACAUAGCCGACCUGAGAGGGUGAUCGGCCACACUGGGACUGAGACACGGCCCAGACUCCUACGGGAGGCAGCAGUAGGGAAUCUUCGGCAAUGGGGGCAACCCUGACCGAGCAACGCCGCGUGAGUGAAGAAGGUUUUCGGAUCGUAAAGCUCUGUUGUAAGUCAAGAACGAGUGUGAGAGUGGAAAGUUCACACUGUGACGGUAGCUUACCAGAAAGGGACGGCUAACUACGUGCCAGCAGCCGCGGUAAUACGUAGGUCCCGAGCGUUGUCCGGAUUUAUUGGGCGUAAAGCGAGCGCAGGCGGUUUGAUAAGUCUGAAGUUAAAGGCUGUGGCUCAACCAUAGUUCGCUUUGGAAACUGUCAAACUUGAGUGCAGAGGGGGAGAGUGGAAUUCCAUGUGUAGCGGUGAAAUGCGUAGAUAUAUGGAGGAACACCGGUGGCGAAAGCGGCUCUCUGGUCUGUAACUGACGCUGAGGCUCGAAAGCGUGGGGAGCGAACAGGAUUAGAUACCCUGGUAGUCCACGCCGUAAACGAUGAGUGCUAGGUGUUGGAUCCUUUCCGGGAUUCAGUGCCGCAGCUAACGCAUUAAGCACUCCGCCUGGGGAGUACGACCGCAAGGUUGAAACUCAAAGGAAUUGACGGGGGCCCGCACAAGCGGUGGAGCAUGUGGUUUAAUUCGAAGCAACGCGAAGAACCUUACCAGGUCUUGACAUCCCGAUGCUAUUUCUAGAGAUAGAAAGUUACUUCGGUACAUCGGUGACAGGUGGUGCAUGGUUGUCGUCAGCUCGUGUCGUGAGAUGUUGGGUUAAGUCCCGCAACGAGCGCAACCCCUAUUGUUAGUUGCCAUCAUUCAGUUGGGCACUCUAGCGAGACUGCCGGUAAUAAACCGGAGGAAGGUGGGGAUGACGUCAAAUCAUCAUGCCCCUUAUGACCUGGGCUACACACGUGCUACAAUGGUUGGUACAACGAGUUGCGAGUCGGUGACGGCAAGCUAAUCUCUUAAAGCCAAUCUCAGUUCGGAUUGUAGGCUGCAACUCGCCUACAUGAAGUCGGAAUCGCUAGUAAUCGCGGAUCAGCACGCCGCGGUGAAUACGUUCCCGGGCCUUGUACACACCGCCCGUCACACCACGAGAGUUUGUAACACCCGAAGUCGGUGAGGUAACCUUUUGGAGCCAGCCGCCUAAGGUGGGAUAGAUGAUUGGGGUGA
This 1462-nucleotide ribosomal RNA is filed under the name uncultured organism. RNAcentral describes it as "SSU rRNA". It matches the Rfam family "Bacterial small subunit ribosomal RNA". The record is from RNAcentral.